Molecule: ribosomal RNA, 253 nt
Filed under: uncultured bacterium
Lineage: Bacteria
Description: partial 16S ribosomal RNA
Rfam family: Bacterial small subunit ribosomal RNA
Source: RNAcentral
UACGUAGGUGGCAAGCGUUGUCCGGAUUUACUGGGCGUAAAGAGCGCGCAGGCGGUCGUUCAAGUCGCGUGUGAAAGCCCCCGGCUCAACUGGGGAGGGUCACGCGAUACUGAUCGACUCGAAGGCAGGAGAGGGUAGUGGAAUUCCCGGUGUAGUGGUGAAAUGCGUAGAGAUGUGGAGGAACACCAGUGGCGAAGGCGACUCUUUGGCCUGUAACUGACGCUGAGGCGCGAAAGCGUGGGGAGCAAACAGG